Molecule: ribosomal RNA, 256 nt
Filed under: uncultured bacterium
Lineage: Bacteria
Description: partial 16S ribosomal RNA
Rfam family: Bacterial small subunit ribosomal RNA
Source: RNAcentral
UACGGGGGGGGGCAAGCGUUGUUCGGAAUUACUGGGCGUAAAGGGCUCGUAGGCGGCCAACUAAGUCAGACGUGAAAUCCCUCGGCUUAACCGGGGAACUGCGUCUGAUACUGGAUGGCUUGAGUUCGGGAGAGGGAUGCGGAAUUCCAGGUGUAGCGGUGAAAUGCGUAGAUAUCUGGAGGAACACCGGUGGCGAAGGCGGCAUCCUGGACCGACACUGACGCUGAGGAGCGAAAGCCAGGGGAGCAAAACGGGG